This is a non-coding RNA of Pelobates cultripes (western spadefoot toad), 234 nucleotides long. Lineage: Eukaryota; Metazoa; Chordata; Amphibia; Anura; Pelobatidae. The record is from the annotation of a GenBank genome assembly.
GCUACAUCCUUAUUGGACUGAAAUCCAUGCAUUGAUCCGAGAAGCCACACAAAGCUCUCCCCUAUCCACCCCACACGUAUGCAUACUGCUGGAUCUCCCUAGAGAAAUGCCCCAACACGCUAGAAAGUUGACCUUACACAUAGCCUUGACGGCGCAGCAAUUGAUAGCAAGGAGAUGGAAGUCCACGAUCCUUCCCAAGAAGGAAAACCUCUUAGAGGAAUUGCAUAAGCAGUG